GGGAGAAGCAGACUCCCCACUGAGUGAGGAGCCCAACGUGGGGCCUGAUCUCAGGACUUGGUGAUCAUGACCCAAGCCGAAGAUAGACGCUUAACUGACUGAGCCACUCAGGCACUCCUGACUUAACUCUAAUAUCUUCAAAAUGCAACAAUGACUUCAGUGUGGAGACUGGAAGCAAGAUUUGCUAUAUUACUAGUAAAUCUGUCUCUGCAAUGAUGUUCACUCCAAAGGAAAUGAAAUGAAAGGAAGUUUUGGCUGCUGGGUUGGAGACAGUGGUGGCCAGUCAUUAGAGGACAAAAAGCUGGUUAAGUGAACUAUGGAAAAAUCACCAAAACAUUGCACUGUGAGGUAAAUACUAUCAUAUCCAUCUUAUAAACAAGGAAACAAGCUUGGAAUGAUGAAGUAACUUGCCCAAACUCAUACAGCUAGUAACAGAUGAUACUGGGAUUUGAACCUAUGCUCUUAAUCAGUAGGCCAUGCUGAAAGCAAGGCAGUAGGCUUAUUUAUCAAUAAGCCUCCAAGAAGGCUUCUGUAACCAUGCUUCCCUCCCCUAGUUUGGAUUAUAUGCUUCUCUUCCUUGUUCACAGCACCUUUUGAAAACCCUAUUUCUUAACAAUAUGUUAUUUGGUUUGUUUUACUGUCUCUUCCAUAGUAUUCCAAACCUCUCAGGGGUACUCUUUAUGUCUUGU
Zalophus californianus (California sea lion) is the source of this 689-nucleotide long non-coding RNA. RefSeq lists it as uncharacterized. The transcript is spliced from 3 exons. The record is from RefSeq and is a predicted model, not a curated record. Lineage: Eukaryota; Metazoa; Chordata; Mammalia; Carnivora; Otariidae.